Puntigrus tetrazona (Sumatra barb) is the source of this 1169-nucleotide long non-coding RNA. RefSeq lists it as uncharacterized. The transcript has 3 exons. The record is from RefSeq and is a predicted model, not a curated record. Lineage: Eukaryota; Metazoa; Chordata; Actinopteri; Cypriniformes; Cyprinidae.
AACCCCUACAAACCGUCUGUGCUUUUAAACUUUUCAUAGAGAGCUGGUGGUAAACGAAUGAAUUAGUUACCGAAACACACCAUGUACCUAAAAAGGGCUAAACUUCAUUUAGCUUGAAGGAAGGACAUGCCAUGUUCACACCCACCUUCCUUCAAGCUGACAAAUAGCAGUCUCAGCCCUUUUUCUCUUUCAUUCGCACAAGCUCAAGAAAUCUCCAAGGCUUCUUCAAAUCACAUUAUCACACAUCAUAAGAUUUGGCUUUCAUUGGACUUUAUCGUAAAUCAGGUUUGAUGCUCGACGCAAACUGUUUGCAGGAACCAAGCACAAAAAUCUAGUCCGUAUUUAAAAGGGAAGUGAAACUCACGACACGUCAACAGGAUGAGAACGGAGGUUUUCCUUGUGCUCCUCGUGACUCUGGCGUUCAGCGACGGAUUGGAUAACAUCGGGAUCAGCUACAAUCAGUCUGACUUUUUUAACUUUGCACCCUGUCAGAUCUCCUUUAAUAACAAUGCGUAUAAUUAUUUUAUGUAUCAACAUAUCCUCCCAAAUAAUUUUGAUGUGAACAACCCAAUGAACUGGCAAGGAUACCUCUCAAGUACAGGUCUGUGUGGAAGAAAACCUGUACAGUCCUUCCUCAGCGGCGCUGAUAUCACGGGAUUGUGAACAUCUGCAACGGACAAGGCAUCAAUGUCAGAUAUAACACCUGCACCAGUAUAAACGCUUUUCUGGUGUACAUUGUUCAAAGUGGUUGGGCAAAUGGAGUGUGUAGUGUUACUGGAAUUUUUUACAACUAUUAUUACGUGACCGUUGCUUGUGAUAAGAUUAAUAACUAUUGUUUGCCCGUUCACUAUGAGACACAAAGUCCCUGGCCACCAGACAUACACGGUGUGAUCUGCAGACCUUAGCAGAAGUCACAUUAACUGUUACCUUGAAAGAGUCCUUCUCAUAACUGCUCACGACUAAGCUCUUGUAAGGCAUUUUUUAGUUUUCAUAUCUUUAAAUGAAUUUGUUAUGCAGUGUCUUUUAACUGAUUUGUGUACAGAUCUUACGAAACAGGAUACAAUUCCUUUUGAAACUAAGCAAAUAAAUCUUCAGAUCUACUUUCGACAGAGGGAGCAAAAGAAAUUAAGAAGUUACCGUAUAAUUAAAUAAUUCAUGUUUUAACCUUU